Molecule: non-coding RNA, 676 nt
Organism: Anolis sagrei ordinatus
Lineage: Eukaryota; Metazoa; Chordata; Lepidosauria; Squamata; Anolidae
Source: RefSeq, a predicted model, not a curated record
CUGGGGUCCAGCGGGAGGGAGGGCUGUGUCUGGUCUGACCACCUCCCCCCCCCCUUGAAAUAAAGGAGGAGCUGAAGCACUUUGAGGCCAAGGUGGAGAAGCACCUGCACUUCCAGAAGCAGCUGGAGAUCUCGCACCAGAAGCUGAAGCACGUGGAAGGGACCGGGGACGAGGAACACCUCAGCCGCCACCAGGAGAAGCACGCCAUGCUGCAGGAGAAGACCAAGGACCUCGGGUACAAGGUCAAGAAGCACCUUCAGGACAUCUCUGGCAGGAUCUCUCGAGGCCUUCAGCACAAUGAACUUUGAGGCGUCCUUGCUGCUGCCUUUGGACUUUUGCACAUGGGUCGAAAUCAGGCGUGGAGUCUCUCCGGAGAUCGAGGUCGUUGGUGGAAGUCUCAAGGCCUCCUCCGCUGCCCUUUCCUCCUUCUCCGUCCCUGUUGAGACUUUGGCGCGUCGGGAGAAGGGCUGCUCCGCUGGUUUCUCUCCAUGCUGGGCUAGAUGUGCUGCAGAAGGGGGGCCUUUGAAGUGGGGCAACUGGGAGGAACUGGGAGGGGGCGGGUGGGCAGCCUCUGAACUGUUUCGCCAUAGGUGCCCAACAGAAAGGGGAUUUCUGAUUGCGUUGAUCCUGAGUGUUCACCCUCUCCGGUUGAAUAAAGGACACAAGUGGGACCAGA